This is a long non-coding RNA of Monomorium pharaonis (pharaoh ant), 2479 nucleotides long. RefSeq lists it as uncharacterized. Lineage: Eukaryota; Metazoa; Arthropoda; Insecta; Hymenoptera; Formicidae. The record is from RefSeq and is a predicted model, not a curated record. The transcript is spliced from 2 exons.
UCAAAAAAAGGUGCAAUGAUGCAUAUGUUUCCACAAGCUUUAGAAUGUCGAAAAAUAUGGACAGAAAAUGAAAUAAGACUUGAAAUGAGACUUGAAUAAGACUUGAAAUUUGCCGCCUUUACAUGCUGUGAAACGGAAAAUGGCGACUUCCGUCACAUUGGCACAACUCUCCUUAUAGAAACUUUAGCCGGCGCAACCGUGGUUCCCUCUUUUUGAGCAACUAAUAGUUGGUCGUCCAGUCCUGCUCGAGCCGAAUAUUAACAUGUUAUCAUUUCCUUUCAGGGAGUUCCACCCGAAAUGGAGAACAAUUUCCCUGGCGGCCGCGAAAUUAUCCGUCAAGCCUUCCUGUUCUGAGAAACUCCAGCGUCCAUCACGAAAUCCACUAUCGUACAGUAUACUAAACCCUUGAGAUUGUGAUUGUUUUUCCUGAAGGAGAAACAGAUUAAUUGUUUCUCCUUCUUUAGUAAUUUCUCCCCACCGAUCCCACUGGUGCUGGAAUUCUUAUCUAAUGCAUUGAGCAACAUUGGCUACUCGAGUAUAAAUUCCUAUCGCUCGGCAAUCUCCUUGUUGUCCACAGAGGAGGUGGACUCACACCCCUUGGUAAGAAGAUUUCUCAGGGGAGUCGCGGCACUGAAAUCACAACGUACCCGAUACGACUUCGUUUGGGACCCAUCGCCAGUCAUCGCCUAUUUGGCUAGGUUAUACCCAUAUGAAGAUCUCCCACUCGACCGAAUAUCAAAGAACCUGGUAAUCUUAUUCUCGUUGACGAUUGCGCAAAGACUGCAGACCCUAGCAGCUAUCAAAAUUGCUAAUAUAACCAUUUCAAAUUCAUUACUUAUUGACAUACAUUAAAGAUCCCGGCUAGACUGAAGACAUCAAAAAUCGGGAAAUUCCAACCGCUCCUAAUUUUAAAUCCUUUCUUAGCCAAGCCAGAACUUUGUGUCGUCAGGCUAGUGAAAGUCUACUUUGAGCUCACCCAAAAAAUCAGACAGGAGAGAUGUGAUGCACUCUUUAUUUCCUUGCGUCCUCCGCAUAAGACGGUUACGUCACAAACCUUGGGCCGCUGGGUCAAAGAUAUACUGAAAGCAGAAAUUGACAUUCCCAUCCUCUCUGUCCAUUCCACUCGGCAUGCCUCUACUUUCUUCGCAGCUAACAAGGGAGUUUCCUUGUUAGAAAAAAUCAGGCGAACAGCAGGAUGAACUGAAACCACAAAAGUAUUCACACAAUUUUACAAUCGACCAAUCAUCAAAGAUACAUCUUUCCAAAACGCAAUUCUGGAUAUGCCUUAAAUUUCCUGUUCUCUCGGAUUAAAAUCGGAAACGCAUAGUCACAUAAACUUUGUUCGCCUUUAUUUCAUUUUUACUAAUAUGCGACUACAAUACUCAAGCUAACCUCCUAGCGUUUUUAGUUAUAUCUGUUCGCUACAUUUGAAAACAGUUGUUUAUAAAGGCACUGUGUCCCUUGUAUUUGCUUUACAAAUAAAGCUGUCGCAACUCUCGUGAGCCCGACAAAUCUGGGCGUUUAAUUUCUACAAUCUGUCCAUCUGGACGAGCGUUGCAUAAUUGAAGAAUUGAACGAACUUACCGCGAAGUUCGAUUGCAAUUAUGCUGUCUCGUCUGGAUGGAUGCUCUCACCCAUCCACCUCCAAGACUCAGAUUUGUCAAUAUUGAAGUAAUGAACUUCCGGUGGUGCGUGCACGGUAAGACGCCUGGGUGCACGCCUAGAGGCGAGGCAUAGGCACCAAAUUUGAAUUUGGAGGCGUUAAAGCAAACCUGUUAGGGAAAGACGCAGCGGAACGCUAUUACAAUCUACAAUCUAUCCAUCCGGGCGAGACAGCAUAAUUGCAAUCAAACUUCACGGUAAGUUUGUUCAAUUUUUUAAUUAUACGAUUGCUCCAAGAUCCAACAAAAGAUGAACAAAGAUCCAACAAAUACCUUGACGAGCAUUUUGAGACAAUCAAUGUACAAUUAAAGUCUCUGUUUCACAAACAGACUUUAAUAUAAAAUGCAGACAAGAAAAAUUUUGACGAAGAAAAAUACACUUUUUGGUUUUCAGUUUCUUACAUUCCUAGAAUUUAUGACAAAUUUAAGUAUGUUACCUAAACGCCAAAUUAUCGUUUUACGUCUGAACGAGCUUAGUAGGUUCAUUAGAGUUCACAAAGAUGUUCUCUAUAGAGAAUAAAUGAAAAACGCAGUUUAUGGGUGAUAUUCAUAGUCGAAUCUUAAAGAUCGUCUCAAGCAAUGUCUUAAGAUGCUAAUACGGCUCUGUGAUUGGCUGAUGGCAUCUUAACCCUUUGCGGCACGGUGGUCGAUAUAUCGACCACCUAUCUUGAAGUCAUUUCUUUAAUUUUUCGGACACCAAAUACUGUAUUUUAUUACUUUUUCUUGUAAUUUUACUUUAGUAAGAGUCUUAGUAAUAUUUGGUAAGGUAUAAUUUUCCUUUAUUAUUAGUUAAUUUUGUUAUAUAAAUAAAUAAAGUG